RNAcentral lists this ribosomal RNA (541 nucleotides) under uncultured archaeon. RNAcentral's name for it is "bacterial SSU rRNA". It matches the Rfam family "Archaeal small subunit ribosomal RNA", at positions 457 to 997 of the family's 1478-position model. The record is from RNAcentral.
GUCAGCCGCCGCGGUAACACCGGCAGCUCUAGUGGUAACAAUUUUAUUGGGCCUAAAGCGUCCGUAGCCGGUUUAAUAAGUCUCUGGUGAAAUCCUGUAGCUUAACGUGUGGGAAUUGCUGGAGAUACUAUUAGACUUGAGACCGGGAGAGGUUAGAGGUACUCCCAGGGUAGAGGUGAAAUUCUGUAAUCCUGGGAGGACCGCCUGUUGCGAAGGCGUCUAACUGGAACGGUUCUGACGGUGAGGGACGAAAGUUAGGGGCGCGAACCGGAUUAGAUACCCGGGUAGUCCUAACUGUAAACGAUGCGGACUUGGUGUUGGGGUGGCUUUGAGCUGCUCCAGUGCCGAAGGGAAGCUGUUAAGUCCGCCGCCUGGGAAGUACGGUCGCAAGACUGAAACUUAAGGAAUUGGCGGGGGAGCACCACAACGCGUGGAGCCUGCCGGUUUAAUUGGAUUCAACGCCGGACAUCUCACCAGAGGCGACAGCUGUAUGAUAGCCAGGUUGAUGACUUUGCUUGACUAGCUGAGAAGAGGUGCAUGG